GGACGUAACCGUGUCUACCCCUAACCAAUCCGCUAUCGAAACGUGUCCGGGACUUUCCAUUUUUGUUCCCUCCGUUUCGCUCUUCACUCAAGCUCCUCAUUUCCUCCCUGAACCGCACACCACCGGGCACCGGCGAGGAAGGACGUGAAACGGAGCAUGAGGUGAAUGAUUUGUUGUUCUAUUGUCUUUCUUAAAUCGUCUGCUGUCUCGUUUCCGGACUGGAUCGGCUUGUCGCUGAGUUGAUUGCUUGUAGCAAAGAAGAAGCAACACUGGCUGUGAUGAGAGGAAGCCUCUUGGUUAACCGUCGCGGGAUGCAGAGAUUUCGGCAACUCGCGAUCACUGCCGCUGGAUCGAUUAAGAUUAAGCUCUUACUCUGCUGUUGCAUAGCUUUUACGCUGCUCGCGCUCGCUGGACGCGCAUCGGAUUUCAUGAGAUGGACCAAACACGUUGUUUGUGCUGAUCAGCUCUCUGUUCCUGGGAAAGGUUAUGCUGUGUUAAUUAACACAUGGAAGAGAUAUGAUCUUUUGAAGCAGUCAAUUUCCCACUAUUCAUCUUGUGCUGGGCUUGAUUCUAUACAUAUAGUGUGGAGUGAGCCCAAUCCUCCAUCAGAAUCUCUUGUUAGUUAUCUAAAUCACGUUCUACAAUCAAAAUCUAAAGGUGCUAGGCAGGCAGAAUUGAAAUUUGAUAUCAACAAGGAAGACAGUUUGAAUAAUAGAUUCAAAGAAAUUAAGGAUUUGAAGACUGAUGCUGUUUUCUCAAUUGAUGAUGAUGUUAUAUUUCCUUGCUCUUCAGUGGAAUUUGCUUUCAACGUUUGGCAGAGUGCCCCAGAUACAAUGGUGGGCUUUGUGGCCCGUGCCCAUUGGGUUGAUCGAUUGGAAGGUAAAAAAGAUUAUUACAUAUAUGGUGGAUGGUGGUCUGUUUGGUGGACUGGUACAUAUAGCAUGGUACUCUCUAAGGCAGCCUUUUUUCACAAAAAGUAUCUCAGCUUAUAUACAAAUGAGAUGCCAGCAUCAAUCAGAGAAUACAUAACCAAGAAUAGGAAUUGUGAAGAUAUUGCAAUGUCCUUUCUCAUUGCAAAUUCAACUGGAGCUCCACCUAUUUGGGUGAAAGGUAGAUGAUUUAUCUGAUAUAAGUCAAAAGUUGUUAAUGGUUUAUUCACUCAGUUCAUUUUUCUUAUAUUCUUAAUGACUUUUUAUUUAAUAAUUUUAACCUUAGUAGGGUCAUUUCUUAUGCAAAGCUCCUAUCAAAUAAGUAAACUGAGUGUAAAGAAGGUGGAAAUUAUAUAGCUAAUGUAUGAUAAAAUCUAUGCACUGAAAGUGCCAAAAAAAUGUCACAACUACUGGUUGUGUUCUUAGUUCAUUCAUGUGUCAUCUUGCCUUCUCUAAUGGUCAACUUGAUGCAAUUAGCUCUUCCUCCUCGUCCUUAUAGCACCUUGAAAUAUAAUAAGUUUGUGUCGUUUUGAUGCAAUUGAUAUUUUCUUCCUUUUCCUUGUAGCUUAGCUAUUUCACAUCUCUCUUACAUGGGACAGAUUAUUUAUUCAUUUGUUUAUUUAUAUAGGAAAAGCAAAUCUUUAAAUUGAGGUAAUAAGAGCGAGGUCUUAUGAGAUAGAGAAAGGGUGAAUAAGGAAAAGAGAAUGAAUGUUAGGCAAUGAUCACAAUCCCUUUGUUAUAGGAAUGAAACCUGAGAACUUAUAUCAUGAGGUGGAUAAAUGGAGCCUAUCCCUUGAUUUGCAAACAUUUGGUGACAAUUUGUGAUUUAUUGGUGCAAAGACCCUAUUAUGUUGACCUAUUUUGAGAGAUUACUCAAGAAUAUUGCUUAGAUAUUCAUGCCAAGUCUGUGGAAUAUACUAUGGGUGCUGUCACUCUCUUUGUCUAUCUAUCCCCAUUGGCUCAAGGUUGGCAGGUGUGAGUAUUUAAUAAUCAAGCUAACUGCUUUUAUAAAUAUGAUGCUACUUGAAAAAGUUGUGUUUAUGGGUUGCAUGUCUGAUAUGCUUCAUUAAAUCCUAGAUAAAUUGGUUCACUGUACAACCAUAAAAAAUCUUGUUGAAGAAUGGAAGAGAAAUUGAUUUGAUGGUUAAGGAGAAUUCACCCACACUCAUUGAGUGUCAUAGUAAUAGCCCAUCAAAACAGUGUUUUGAAUAUAUAGGUAUACUUCUCUUCCUUCAAAUAUUUAACCUUAGCACUAGUUGCAUGCUUUGGUGGAGCACUUAAUUGGUUUAUAUGGGUACUGGUGAAGGAACAGACUAUUUAGUGAAAGAACAACUCUUCGCUUCUUGAUGCUGUGGCAUGUGAUUUAUGCUUUCAAGAUCCUUGUUUUGCCUCAAAUCUAGGAAUUUGGGUUUUCUCAUUUUUUCUUUGAGCGAUUAUGUUUUCUCCUCUUAAAUGAAGUUCUGUAGAAAAGUUAUCUUAAUUGAAGUUUUCAG
Molecule: unclassified non-coding RNA, 2422 nt
Filed under: Hevea brasiliensis (rubber tree)
Lineage: Eukaryota; Viridiplantae; Streptophyta; Magnoliopsida; Malpighiales; Euphorbiaceae
Source: RNAcentral